UACUGCCUCUGUUUGUUCUUCAUCGAUACAAUAAAGACAGCUUCUUCCUGCAUUCUCUGGAGAAAAGUCCUUUUUUUGCAAUAUUUAUUGCCUUUGUUUGUCCUUCAGCGAUACAAUAAUGACUGCUUCUUCCUGCAUUCUCUGGAGAAAAGUCCUUUUUUUGCAAUAUUACUGCAACACUUGUUCUGCCCCAGGGAGGCAAGACUACUUCUUUCAUAAUUCACUGGAAGAAAAAAGGCUAUUUUACAUCUGAGUUGUAUAUAUUUAAAAAAACAACUGAAAAUUUAUUAUUAAUUAAAUUUAAAAAUUAUUUCUGCUACUCGUGUACACUUUUUAAAUCUGUUUUAGUAUUCAAAUGCUUCAGUGCGACUGUGCGAGAUGAAGUUGAAAUCCAUAGCGGCAAGUUUUUCUAAAGAAGAAAAGGAAAAACAGAGUUUAAGAAAUUGUAUUAAC
This is a long non-coding RNA of Anthonomus grandis grandis, 453 nucleotides long. RefSeq lists it as uncharacterized. Lineage: Eukaryota; Metazoa; Arthropoda; Insecta; Coleoptera; Curculionidae. The record is from RefSeq and is a predicted model, not a curated record. The transcript is spliced from 3 exons.